Molecule: long non-coding RNA, 298 nt
Filed under: Gossypium raimondii (Peruvian cotton)
Lineage: Eukaryota; Viridiplantae; Streptophyta; Magnoliopsida; Malvales; Malvaceae
Description: long non-coding RNA (GRAI_LNC010903)
Source: RNAcentral
UCUAAAGAAACAGGCCAAAACGACGCCGUUUUUGAAGCCCUAUUUAAGUAAAAAAUUUCCCAAAAAAAUCUUUUCAGCUUCCUUUUAAAAAAAACUAAAAAAACCUCUCAAAACUCUCUCCCCUCUCUCAUCUUCCGGCAAAGCUUCAGCGCCGGACCACCGUAUAAGCCGCCGGUCGUCAGCGACGUCGUCGCCAUCCACGAUGGCCAAAAAAUAAAAAAAUACAUUUAUUAGACCAUUCGACUCCCCGAACCUAAAAAAUGUCGAUAUUUAUCGGAAUUGGCAAACCUCCUCCACC